Molecule: ribosomal RNA, 423 nt
Filed under: uncultured Frondihabitans sp.
Lineage: Bacteria; Bacillati; Actinomycetota; Actinomycetes; Micrococcales; Microbacteriaceae
Description: bacterial SSU rRNA
Rfam family: Bacterial small subunit ribosomal RNA
Source: RNAcentral
GUGGGGAAUAUUGCACAAUGGGCGCAAGCCUGAUGCAGCAACGCCGCGUGAGGGAUGACGGCCUUCGGGUUGUAAACCUCUUUUAGUAGGGAAGAAGCGACUGAAUUUAUUCUGAGUGACGGUACCUGCAGAAAAAGCACCGGCUAACUACGUGCCAGCAGCCGCGGUAAUACGUAGGGUGCAAGCGUUGUCCGGAAUUAUUGGGCGUAAAGAGCUCGUAGGCGGUUUGUCGCGUCUGCUGUGAAAUCUGGGGGCUCAACCCCCAGCCUGCAGUGGGUACGGGCAGACUAGAGUGCGGUAGGGGAGAUUGGAAUUCCUGGUGUAGCGGUGGAAUGCGCAGAUAUCAGGAGGAACACCGAUGGCGAAGGCAGAUCUCUGGGCCGUAACUGACGCUGAGGAGCGAAAGCAUGGGGAGCGAACAGG